Molecule: long non-coding RNA, 237 nt
Organism: Carassius auratus (goldfish)
Lineage: Eukaryota; Metazoa; Chordata; Actinopteri; Cypriniformes; Cyprinidae
Exons: 3
Source: RefSeq, a predicted model, not a curated record
AGGAUUGGCAUGGAAGAUGCAGCACUCUUUACAUUUUAAAUAUCAAAUGUAUAUCAAGUGUUAUCCAUCCUCAUAACACCUCCACAAAUAGAGACUAGAACUUCUGAGCACCAUCACCUUGUCUGCUUUGGGACUGUCAUAGCCCAGCAAUCAGAUGCAUCAGAACAACAAAGCACAGCUGUGGUGGCCAAGGCACCUUCAGCAACAAGUAAAUUGCUUUAAUAUUAAUGAUAACGC